This is a non-coding RNA of Myodes glareolus (Bank vole), 2028 nucleotides long. The record is from RefSeq and is a predicted model, not a curated record. NCBI's taxonomy places the organism in Eukaryota, Metazoa, Chordata, Mammalia, Rodentia, Cricetidae.
GGUGAGUCUUCCAAACCUUUCCCCGUUCGUUCAGCACUUUAAAAUGGGUCUUUUUCUUUUCUUUUCUUUUUUUGAAACAAAAAUUGCACUGUUUUCAGAAACUGGCCUGCAAUAAAAUUGAAAAUGCAGCUGUUAAUCAACCCCCAGUCCCCGCAGAAACCUAAGAAGGAAUUCGGAGUGAUCUGUCAUCUCCACACGUUACCUGGGCAGACUAAGCUUUGACCCGAGGAAUGUACGUGCAGCCAUAUUGAUACAAUAAGUCAGGUUGGGAUCCAGACUUCAGCGUUGAGGGGUGGUGCUAAGGUAGACAGCAGAGCCUCUCCAGCCGGAUUGUGCAGCUGAAUUCAGCUUCAUUCAUCUUAUUUUAAUGGCCCCAUUCAUUUUGCGCAGGAAAGCGUUUCUAUUUGGUUUUCUCAUCAUGGCCGGGUGUGAUGUGCAAGCAUAGAAGGUUCGGAAGCCAAACAGACUGAAAGAGAGUCCUUGUGGAUAGCUGGGGAAGAAACUCCCUGACAUGCCUGACGGUCGCGUUCCUGGAUGUCUCCUAAGAAAGCCCCUCUCGCAGCAGUAGAGUGGCCAGGUCCCUCAAUGGGUCUGGUGCCUCAAGUGGAGGCCGUCAGAGAGUCCUUUUUCUCUACGUCCAGAACAGGAGGACCGCAUUUGUGCCGAGUGCACAGAGAGCCCUGAGAGACAGCAUCGUGUGGAGUCACACCAUCCCAGGGGUCUGGGAAAACCAUCACCUGCAGAAGCUGGGCCAGGUCUCCCCAGACUGUUGGGAACAAAGACGACUCCAUCCCGAGCCAGCAAGUCUUGCAUCUCGGGCAACGGGGCCAGGCUCAAGCUGAGAAAGCUCAUCAGAGGCUCACACACUGCGGCUGCCUUCGUCAGAUCUCUGGGGGUGAGAGUUUCUGCCAGUGCCAGCGGGUCAGACUGCCCUGUGAACAAUGACAGUUACAUCGUGAACCGUGCUUCUCCCUUCCAGCUCUCCCCGUCAUACACUGUGUCUCCCUCUGUCCAGCCACUUAAGCCGAACCACGGUCUCUUUUUGUGGGACCUGGUGCCUUCUAAAAUGAGCCACAGUCAUUGGCUCUCCUGUCUUUCCCGCUACUCAGAUGGGAAAGAUUUUAAGCUUGGCUCCCAGAGUUUUCCUUUUUUUAUUUUUUCCUUUGGAAACUUUUGUCAUUGAAUUAGGGAAAAGAUUGAGCGAGGCAAGAGGUGAUGGAAAGCAACUUUAUGCAAAGAGGGAAAACUAGAAGGUGAAGGUGAGGAGGAUCCCUCUGAGAGUGAACAUUGAGAGGUGCAUGCUCUUAUCGCCUUCACGGGGUGACCUUUGGCACUGUCAUUAAGUGAAAGGGAAAUGGCAGACUCAGCAUUUUUGUCCAUCCUGUCAGGACUUUCCCAACCCCGACACAUUUCCAUUAUCAGCCUUCCGGGCUGUCAGAAACUCCCUAGAAUAGCUACACAUCAGGAUGCUUUCCUUCUCUCUUAAAUGUAAUGUCCAAAAUGCUGGAGGCAGAUGGUGGGAGUCUUUUCACUGGAAUGCAAAUGCAUCACUUAGGAGGGAGAAGAUACCAGGACCAGAUCUCCCCGGAGAACAGCACUGGUGCAUCAGAUUGCAACUGGUUUACUGAGUUCCAAGAGGAAGGGAUGAAGGAGAGGUCAUCUCUGAGGGAGGAUUGAGGUUCAUUUUCUAAUACGGUCCUUUGAUGUCUUGCCACUUAGCAAAGAUGGAAGAGAAUAAGGGUCAUAUUUAGUAGAUGGAGAAAAGGGAGACAGUAGAAUGUACCUGAGGAGCUGAAUACACAAAAUCUUGGUGAACUGGUGUCUUAUUGGUCGGUUAGAUAUAUGAAUAGGAAAUGCCUUAAAUACUUCAGCAUUUGUAGUAUUUAAUAUGAAGAAUAUGGAUUUAAUUUGAAGAUAUGAAAAUAGAGAAUAAAAAAAGCCAAUAUAUUUUGCUACAUUGAUUGUACUUUGCUGUUGUUGUUUUGUUUUGUUUUUUUUCAAGACAGGGUUUCUCUGUGUAACUGUAGG